CCUACGGGCGGCAUCAGUGAGGAAUAUUGGUCAAUGGACGCAAGUCUGAACCAGCCAUGCCGCGUGCAGGAAGACGGCUCUAUGAGUUGUAAACUGCUUUUGUACGAGGGUAAACGCAGAUACGCGUAUCUGUCUGAAAGUAUCGUACGAAUAAGGAUCGGCUAACUCCGUGCCAGCAGCCGCGGUAAUACGGAGGAUUCAAGCGUUAUCCGGAUUUAUUGGGUUUAAAGGGAGCGUAGACGGUCGGAUAAGUUAGAGGUGAAAGCCCGAGGCUCAACUUACGAAUUGCCAUUGAUACUGUUAGGCUAGAGAGUAGUUGCGGUAGGCGGAAUGUAUGGUGUAGCGGUGAAAUGCUUAGAGAUCAUACAGAACACCGAUUGCGAAGGCAGCUUACCAAGCUACUACUGACGUUGAGGCACGAAAGCGUGGGGAGCAAACAGGAUUAGAUACCCCUGUAGUC
Molecule: ribosomal RNA, 460 nt
Filed under: uncultured bacterium
Lineage: Bacteria
Description: partial 16S ribosomal RNA
Rfam family: Bacterial small subunit ribosomal RNA
Source: RNAcentral